GGCUCAGAACGAACGCUGGCUCCGUGCCUAAUACAUGCAAGUCGAGCGGGGGCUUUUGGGAGCUUGCUUCUGAGAGCCCUAUCGGCGGACGGGUGAGUAACACGUAGGCAACCUGCCCGCAGGACCGGGAUAACGUAGGGAAACUUACGCUAAUACCGGAUAGGGUUUCGCCCCGCAUGGGGCGGAACGGAAAGGCGGCGAUGAGCUGUCACUUGCGGAUGGGCCUGCGGCGCAUUAGCUACUUGGUGAGGUAACGGCUCACCAAAGCGACGAUGCAUAGCCGACCUGAGAGGGUGACCGGCCACACUGGGACUGAGACACGGCCCAGACUCCUACUGGAGGCAGCAGUGGGA
Molecule: ribosomal RNA, 353 nt
Filed under: uncultured Caryophanales bacterium
Lineage: Bacteria; Bacillati; Bacillota; Bacilli; Caryophanales
Description: bacterial SSU rRNA
Rfam family: Bacterial small subunit ribosomal RNA
Source: RNAcentral